AGCAGCCGCGGUAAUUCCAGCUCCAAUAGCGUAUAUUAAAGUUGUUGCAGUUAAAAAGCUCGUAGUUGAAUUUCGGGAUCAAUAUAUCGGUCGUGCCUUUGGUACGUACUGGUAUCAUUGAUUUCUCCUUUCUGACGAAUCAUGAUGUCAUUAAUUUGGUGUUAUGAGGAGUUAGGACUGUUACUUUGAAAAAAAUUAGAGUGUUUAAAGCAGGCAUUAGCUUGAAUACAUUAGCAUGGAAUAAUGAAGUAGGACGUUUGACCCUAUUUUUGUUGGUUUUUAGGAUCGACGUAAUGAUUAAUAGGGAUAGUUGGGGGCAUUAGUAUUCAAUUGUCAGAGGUGAAAUUCUUGGAUUUUAUUGAAGACUAACUACUGCGAAAGCAUUUGCCAAGGAUGUUUUCAUUAAUCAAGAACGAAAGUUAGGGGAUCGAAGACGAUCAGAUACCGUCGUAGUCUUAACCAUAAACUAUGCCGACUAGGGAUCGGAUGAUGUUAAUUUUUAUAGUGACUCAUUCGGCGC
This 520-nucleotide ribosomal RNA is filed under the name uncultured Glomus. RNAcentral describes it as "SSU rRNA". It matches the Rfam family "Eukaryotic small subunit ribosomal RNA", at positions 569 to 1086 of the family's 1831-position model. Lineage: Eukaryota; Fungi; Glomeromycota; Glomeromycetes; Glomerales; Glomeraceae. The record is from RNAcentral.